Long non-coding RNA from Mytilus californianus (California mussel), 1310 nucleotides. RefSeq lists it as uncharacterized. NCBI's taxonomy places the organism in Eukaryota, Metazoa, Mollusca, Bivalvia, Mytilida, Mytilidae. The record is from RefSeq and is a predicted model, not a curated record. The transcript is spliced from 2 exons.
AUUAGCUCACCUGGCCCGAAGGGCCAAGUGAGCUUUUCUCAUCACUUUGCGUCCGUCGUCGUCGUCGUCCGGCGUCGUCUGUUAACUUUUACAAAAAUCUUCUCCUCUGAAACUACUGGGUCAAAUUUAACCAAACUUGGUCACAAUCAUCAUUGGGGUAUCUAGUUUAAAAAAUGUGUCUGGUGAUCCGGUCAACCAACCAAGAUGGCCGCCAUGGCUAAAAAUAGAACAUAGGGGGAAAAUGUAGAUUUUGGCUUAUAUCUCUGAAACCAAAGCAUUAAGAGCAAAUCUGACAUGGGGUAAAAUUGUUUAUCAGGUCAAGAUCUAUCUGCCCUGAAAUUUUCAGAUGAAUCUGACAACCCGUUGUUGGGUUGCUGCCCCUGAAUUGGUAAUUUUAAGGAAAUUUUGCCGUUUUUGGUUAUUAUCUUGAAUAUUAUUAUAGAUAGAGAUAAACUGUAAACAGCAAUAAUGUUCAGCAGAGUAAGAUCUACAAUUAAGUCAACUUGACCAAAAUGGUCAGUUGACCCCUUAAGGAGUUAUUGCCCUUUAUAAUCAAUUUUUAACCAUUUUUCGUAAAUUUUUGUAAUCUUUUACUAAAAUCUUCUCCUCUGAAACUACUUAGACAAAUUUAACCAAACUUGUCCACAAUCAUCAUUAGGGUAUAUAGUUUAAAAAAUGUGUCCGAUGACCCCGCCCACGAACCAAGAUGGCCGACAUGGCUAAAAAAUAGUACAUAGGGUAAAAUGCAGUUUUUGGCUCAUAUCUCUGAAACCAAAGCAUUUAGAGCAAAUCUGACAUGGGGUAAAAUUGUUUAUCAGGUCAAGAUCUAUCUGCCCUGAAAUUUUCAGACCAAUCAGGCAACACGUUGUUGGGUUGCUGCCCCUGAAUUGGUAAUUUUAAGAAAAUUUUGCAGCUUUUGGUUAUUAUCUUGAAUAUUAUUAUAGAUAGAGAUAAACUGUAAACAGCAAUAAUGUACAGCAAAGUAAGAUCUACAAAUAAGUCAACAUGACCAAAAUUGUCAAUUGACCCCUUAAGGAGUUAUUGCCCUUUAUAGUCAAUUUUUUACAAUUUUUUCAUAAAUUUUGUAAAUUUUUGUAAAUUUUUACAAAAUAUUUUCCACUGUAACUACUGGGCCAAGUUCAUUAUAGAUAGAGAUAAUUGUAAGCAGCAAGAAUGUUCAGUAAAGUAAGAUCUACAAACACAUCACCAUCACCAAAACACAAUUUUGUCAUGAAUCCAUCUUUGUCCUUUGUUUAAUAUGCACAUAUACCAAGGUGAGCGACACAGGCUCUUUAGAGCCUCUAGUUUAG